This 213-nucleotide non-coding RNA is filed under the name Caldanaerobacter subterraneus subsp. tengcongensis. RNAcentral describes it as "Thermoanaerobacter tengcongensis T-box sequence". It matches the Rfam family "T-box leader". From Rfam's summary of the family: Uncharged tRNA acts as the effector for transcription antitermination of genes in the T-box leader family. T-boxes are found upstream of many aminoacyl-tRNA synthetase genes and some amino acid biosynthetic genes usually in Gram-positive bacteria. The anticodon of a specific tRNA base pairs to a specifier sequence within the T-box motif, and the NCCA acceptor tail of the tRNA base pairs to a conserved bulge in the T-box antiterminator hairpin. The record is from RNAcentral. Lineage: Bacteria; Bacillati; Bacillota; Clostridia; Thermoanaerobacterales; Thermoanaerobacteraceae.
GUAAAUGCGAUGAAGCGGAGCAGUAGGCAAUGAGGGCUUUCAGAGAGUCGUUGGCAGGUGCGAAACGGCAGCCUGACUUGCUGAAACUCGCCGCAGAGCAGGCGCACUGAAAUAAGUAGGUGCGCACGGCUUGCCGCCGUUACAGGCUUUGAGAGGGCGCUUUUGCGCCAAAAAGAGUGGUACCGCGGAAGAUGUGGGUCUUUCGUCUCUUUG